This 103-nucleotide microRNA precursor is filed under the name Podarcis lilfordi (Lilford's wall lizard). The record is from RNAcentral. Lineage: Eukaryota; Metazoa; Chordata; Lepidosauria; Squamata; Lacertidae.
AAGGUAGAGCUGCGCAGCGCCCCUUCAGCGAAGCGGGAGGAGGAUGGAGCCCCUUCUGUUCCUUCUCCAGCUUCGCUGAAGGGGCGCUGCGCAGCUCUCCCUC